This 94-nucleotide transfer RNA is filed under the name Pseudomonas putida. Its description in RNAcentral is "tRNA-Arg". The record is from RNAcentral. Lineage: Bacteria; Pseudomonadati; Pseudomonadota; Gammaproteobacteria; Pseudomonadales; Pseudomonadaceae.
CGCCGUUGGCGGCCGGCAUGGCCACGGCUUCGCCGGUGCGGGCGUCGAGCAUGAAGGUGUGCGACGAAUUGGGUUCGGUGCCGGCAGUGGCGGC